RNAcentral lists this long non-coding RNA (256 nucleotides) under Hordeum vulgare. RNAcentral describes it as "long non-coding RNA (HVUL_LNC001017)". Lineage: Eukaryota; Viridiplantae; Streptophyta; Magnoliopsida; Poales; Poaceae. The record is from RNAcentral.
CUUCUCCUUCUUCUUUUCUUCUUCUUCUCCUCUUCCUCCUUCUUCUCCUCCUUCUCCUCCUUCUUCUCCUUCUCCUUCUCCUUCUUCUUUUCUUCUUCUUCUCCUCUUCCUUCUCCUCCUCCUCCUCCUCCUCAUCCUUCUUCUUCUUCUAUUUCUCUUCUUCUAUGUAGCUUAGACUCAUCCAAGAAAGACUAAAUUGCCUAAUUAUCCUACAAAAUGACAUAAUUAGCUUAGUUAGCUCCUAAGUAACCUAUUU